CCUACGGGAGGCAGCAGUGAGGAAUAUUGGUCAAUGGACGGAAGUCUGAACCAGCCAUGCCGCGUGCAGGAAGACGGCUCUAUGAGUUGUAAACUGCUUUUGUACAAGGGUAAACCUGAAUACGUGUAUUCAGCUGAAAGUACUGUACGAAUAAGGAUCGGCUAACUCCGUGCCAGCAGCCGCGGUAAUACGGAGGAUCCAAGCGUUAUCCGGAUUUAUUGGGGUUAAAGGGUGCGUAGGCGGAUUGAUAAGUUAGAGGUGAAAUGUCCGAGCUUAACUCGGGAACUGCCCCUAAUACUGUUGAUCUAGAGAGUAGAUGCGGUAGGCGGAAUGUAUGGUGUAGCUGUGAAAUGCUUAGAGAUCAUACAGAACACCGAUUGCGAAGGCAGCUUACCAAUCUAUAUCUGACGUUGAGGCACGAAAGCGUGGGGAGCAAACAGGAUUAGAUACCCCUGUAGUC
RNAcentral lists this ribosomal RNA (460 nucleotides) under uncultured bacterium. RNAcentral describes it as "partial 16S ribosomal RNA". It matches the Rfam family "Bacterial small subunit ribosomal RNA", at positions 338 to 795 of the family's 1533-position model. The record is from RNAcentral.